Gasterosteus aculeatus aculeatus (three-spined stickleback) is the source of this 2546-nucleotide long non-coding RNA. Lineage: Eukaryota; Metazoa; Chordata; Actinopteri; Perciformes; Gasterosteidae. The record is from Ensembl.
GGUCACCAAUAGAUUACUGAUGAAAACACUAUUCUAAACACUAUACAACACAUUUACAAAGAUUUACAAACAUAGCCAAUUCAUUUGAAGCUUUUCUGGAUACAGAAAGUCUUAGAAAUGUCAAAUAGUUUGCUGCCUAUUAAACCGUUAUUGAUGCUCUUAAUACUACAUUUAGUUUCUUUACAGGACUUUUAUAGCAGCCCUUAAAGUAUUCUGUGAACACGAGAUGUGAGUCCACGGAUCAUUUUCAGUCCUUCUCGCAGGCAUCCAGAAGAGACCCAAGGACCUCUGCAGUAGAUUAAACUGUGGAAAUGCUGAGAGAAAGAGAGAGAGGGACCUCUUGGAGAUUAACUCACUCUGAAUAAAUGCCAAUUGAUGUACAAUGGAUUGGGAUUAGACUUCAGAUCCUUCCAGAAAACCCUUGGAAACUUUCUCUUUCAUCUUGUCUGGAGGAGAUUAGUCCAAUUUCCAGCACAUGACGUUGAUUAGCGUCAAGUCACAUUCUUUGCAUCGCACCCGCGCAUGUGGAUGGAUUAGCUAAUAUAUCCAGAUUUAGUUUUUUCAUUUUUCUUUCAUAACUCAUGAUGUCAGACGUGAUGUUAAUAACGCCGGCUAAAUUGGACGGAGCCACAGCGAACUUUAAGCUGGCGUCCAGCCUCCAUCCGAUCGGGAGACAGCGAGCUGCAUCCUUUGUCUCCUCCUCUUCUACCACCGGCUGCUCGAAGGGGUUUGCAUUGCCGGGUUUGCAAUAAAGGAAGAUGUGUCUGUUUUAAAGAAACAGAACAAAGCUAAAAAUAAAAGUCCAAAUAUAAAAUCCGAUCGGGAGGAUUCCAGGUGGCGGCGCUACAAGAGUCGAGUCGAGACCUUCCCCUCAUUACAUUUAGCUGACGCUUUUAUCCAAAGCGACUUACAUUACAUUGUUGACCCAUGGAGCAAUUAGGGGUCAGGUGUCUUGCUCAGGGACACACACCGACAUGCCGGGGCUCAAACCAGCAACCUGCGCCACCGUCGACCCCCUCUCUCAUCAACAUCCGCAAGAUCCAUCUCGUUCCUCUCUUCCUCCAUCUGCCUCCCUCGCUCCACCCUCCCUAUCCGAAGUCCACUCCUCCGUCCUUGGAACCAACAACCUGCUCUUGUUGCCAAAAAACACUUGAUUCAAGUCUCCCAACGCGAGCCUCCCUUCACGGGGGAGAAGGGAACGCAUCAUGUUCACUUGGACAGUGAGAACCCUUUCCUUCUCAAACUAGUCAGAUUCCAUGAGGUGCCCCCCCACAUGAGGUUGUGCUUAUGCUAAUGCAAUUAAACACUCAGGGACCGAGGGGACAUGCGGCUGAUGAGCUGAACAAAGAACAUUGCAUUACCAUCUCAGAUGGGAGAGGAGAUGGAGUGCUGUAGAUGGGACGGAAUAGGGGGAGAUAGAAGGAUAGAAGGGGGGGAGACAGGAAGGGAGAGAAGGAUGAAGCGACAUAAAGGAGUCCAACCUGCAGUGAGAGACAGUAUGUUGAAGCUGGCUGUCUGAGUUUGAGAUGAUACCUCAUCUGGGGCCUCCAGUGGGAGAGAAGAUCAUGUACUCAGGUACCUGGGUGCUUUAUAUUUAGUUACCUUGUUGGACCGUGACAGAAUAAACAACCACAGAACAGAACAUGUGUUUUUACUGUUUAAUUACACUCACGUUUGGUUGACUAAUUCAGCAUCAUUGACCCUGAACAGCAUUAAGUACCUGGUGGUCCUUGAGCAGCACAUAUUUAGUAUUACAUCGACCACACAAGCUUCCACGUAUAUAAAAAGGUGUGAGGCACAGAAUCAGAACUCAGGACUACUUGCACCUGUUUUCUUUCCGUAGAUUGCGGAAGGCGCUCAGCUGUCUGUCACAUUCUGACAAAGGAAUUGUCAAUAUUCCCCUCUAUCAUUUUCUGCUUUAUUCGUAUAAUUUCCCUCCCACUCUUUCCCCGUUCUCACAACACUACAGAAAUGUAGUUUCUUAAAGCAUAAAAUAUUCACCUGGUCCCGCUCGUCAAACACAUUAUAGGUGAUGGAACGUUGAUUGACACUCAGAGUGCUCAAAUUGCCAUUUGACAGUUUCUGUCAGGUGGGUUUGUGUUGCAGCAGCGAUCCUCUUUCUCAAAGCAUUGUAAUGCAUUAGAAGCCGUUUUGAUUGAAACAAUACCAGAAAAUCUAAAACAAUACGAAUGUUUUUUGUGUGGAGACGGUUAUGAUGUCAUAAUGGUCAUAAUUACAUACAUGUAGAUUGCAGGGUGUCUUAUCUCCAACAAGUGUUGUGUGUAAAUACUAUAAUUAAAUAUAUUUACUCUCAAUUACAGUCCUCCAGCCUGCAAGCACAUGAAUGAGGCAAUUACUCUCCUCCCACCUUUAUCAUUCCUGACCUGUGAGGGUUCAGAGGGUUCUGAGUGUUUAAAAGGUUUAGAGGGUUUAGAGGGUUGUGAGGGUUCUGAGGGUUUAGAUGGUUCUGAGGGUUCUGAGGGUUCUGAGGGUUUAGAGGGUUCAGAAGGUUCUGAGAGGGCACAGAAGCUGCUUUGAGUCCUGAA